UCAGGGACAGAGGGUGAGGAAUUGACUAUUCCCGAGGGCAGGGAAGCACAGCUCCAGGUCUACCUGACAACAAGGCAGGUUGCCUACUUCCCUUCAUUUGAUCCAGACUCCACCUGAUGUCUAAGUUCCCUCCCGAAGCAGGAACAAGGAGUUGACACUUUGGAAAGAAAACAGAAACUCAAAGGAUGAUACUGAUCCGGAACAUGUGACUCAUUAGUAGUCCAUGGGCGAGUGUAACCACAAAGUGAUAACUUGCAAGUGAGCUUUCUGUUCUGUCCUUCCGCGGUUACAGAUUAAAAACAAAUUACAUCGGCCCUUAGAUGUGCCAGACUCACCGCUCCACGAGCAUUCCCAAAGCUUCUCUUUUUAUCUCUUGUUUAAACAAAGUUAGGUAUCCCAAGGGAAUAUUGCUAUGACAUCCAGAAACUCCCCAAAGCACUGCGUCCCUAAGGCGAAGACAGAGAUGUAAGCCACGGUGCUGGCAGAGACACUUCUCGUGGACUUACGCAUUGAAACCCUUCUCGCCCAUUGCAGAGGCGGAGUUUGACCCUCCGCACCCGAGCCUGGAACAUCAGUCCUGAUACCACGACUCCUCUCAGACAGUAGGAAGCCUGACAUGGGAGAGGGACAGAGAGCAAGGACUGCGGUCUGCUGCUCAGGACCAGGAGGAGUCCUCCACGAGAGGUAGAUGCCGAUUUCCAUGGGCAGAUGCCACAGGUUUCCAAACAUCACAGAACGAGACUCUUCAUUAUAGAGCAAAAUAUUUCAUGCGUGUAAAACUUUCCUGUUACUUGAACUAAAAACUUGUAAAAAGAAAAAAUAGUCUUAGCAAGAAAGCAGAAGACAAAUGUUAAAAAUGCAGUGAGCCUAUGUGUGCAGUGACUAUCACAGAAAGCCUCUGACAUCCUAGGUGCUAUUGUGUCUAAAUAUGGACUUUGUCCUACGAGUCAGAUUAGGACAUUCUGAAUUUCCUUUCCUGAAUUAUGUGUGCAUUAUCAUUAAAGGCUUCAUUCCUUGCUGAGCGUCAACUCAUGAGGGGCACGGGAUGGUGGAGGAACAGCAGCUGUGUCUGUUCUGAGCCCCUGGACAGGGCCUCCGACCUCUCCCCACCCAGGGAUCCUCAGACAUCCUCUUCACCAGCUUUCUUCAAAACUGGACAUGUCCUACAGGAUAGCAAUUAAGCUGAAGACUGGUUUUCCCUGACUGGUUGCCUUUUUAGGGAACCUCAAGUUUCGAAGGUGGCAGCACCAAGACUUGCCUGGCCUUUGCUGUGCAUUGAGCAGUGAAACGGAAGCCGUGAGCCUUGGACUCGAGCUGCUGACAGAGCAGCCCUCAUGGGAUGUGGCUGUGGAAUUUCCCAUUUCUGUGUGAGAAUCUUUCCUCAGAAGAGCGGUGAGACCCAGCUGUACGUGUGCACAGUCACGUGGCUACAGGGGUAGCAGCACUCACUUGCUCUCCCCUCAGGUCUGCCAGGUGCUGCCCUCUGUCAGCUAGAUGUCUGUCUUCCUCCUCCAGGUGCCCAUCAGGAAGUAUUGGUGGCUUUUGCUUCAGCUUUCAAUAUGUUGUGCUGAAUUUGUUCAGAACAUUUAAAUUCAUAAAAAUCCUUUGGGAGAAAUUAAAAUUUUUAAGUAAAGAUUCACCCCUUAUGUGUCUGUCCCUGCCCAUUGUGUAGGGGUUAGCAAUGGAUGGUUCCUGAAGCUUGGCUGUGGGACAUAGGAGGAGAGAAUAUGAGAUUUUCUAAGGAAAAUUUGGCACGCACCCCUCCACCCCACUUGAAAAUAAUGAGUAAGAGUCACUGAAAUUCUCACACAUUAACCUUACUCAUGUGUGCUUGAGAAAAACACCUAUGAGAGAAGCAGCCUUGUCUAUUAACAACUUGAUUCAGCUGUGUAUUCAGGCCUGAAAGGCAUUUGGGCACCAUGUGUGACUGAUUACAUCAGCUCACUCUUCCUUCAGGGUUUUCUGUUGGUUUCCAUGUCACUGUGGAAUGAUUGCACCCAAAGACAUCCUUCCGAAGGGCCACUUACAGGACA
This is a non-coding RNA of Heterocephalus glaber (naked mole-rat), 2033 nucleotides long. NCBI's taxonomy places the organism in Eukaryota, Metazoa, Chordata, Mammalia, Rodentia, Bathyergidae. The record is from RefSeq and is a predicted model, not a curated record.